AUACGAAGGGUGCAAGCGUUGUUCGGAAUUAUUGGGCGUAAAGCGCGCGCAGGCGGGUCAGCAAGUCAGAUGUGAAAUCUCGGGGCUUAACCCCGAAACUGCGUCUGAAACUACUAACCUAGAAUAUCGGAGAGGAAGAUGGAAUUUCGCAUGUAGGGGUAAAAUCCGUAGAGAUGCGAAGGAACACCAGAGGCGAAAGCGAUUUUCUGGACGAUUAUUGACGCUGAGGCGCGAAAGCGUGGGGAGCAAACAGGAUUAGAUACCCUGGUAGUCCACGCCGUAAACGAUGAGAACUAGAUUUGGGGGGAGUUUGACCCCUUCUGAAUCGAAGCGAACGCAUUAAGUUCUCCGCCUGGGAAGUACGGUCGCAAGACUAAA
RNAcentral lists this ribosomal RNA (378 nucleotides) under uncultured Bacteriovoracaceae bacterium. RNAcentral's name for it is "bacterial SSU rRNA". It matches the Rfam family "Bacterial small subunit ribosomal RNA", at positions 523 to 898 of the family's 1533-position model. Lineage: Bacteria; Pseudomonadati; Bdellovibrionota; Bacteriovoracia; Bacteriovoracales; Bacteriovoracaceae. The record is from RNAcentral.